RNAcentral lists this ribosomal RNA (774 nucleotides) under uncultured Neocallimastigales. RNAcentral's name for it is "partial large subunit ribosomal RNA". It matches the Rfam family "Eukaryotic large subunit ribosomal RNA", at positions 26 to 644 of the family's 3401-position model. Lineage: Eukaryota; Fungi; Neocallimastigomycota; Neocallimastigomycetes; Neocallimastigales. The record is from RNAcentral.
CGCAUCUGUGCAUGCAGCAUAUCAAUAAGCGGAGGAAAAGAAACUAACAAGGAUUCCCCUAGUAACGGCGAGUGAAGCGGGAAGAGCUCAAAUUUGAAAUCUUAAAGGGUUUCCCUUUACGAAUUGUAGUUUAAAGAAGUGUUUUCUGUUGAGGUUUUGGUAAAAGUUCUUUGGAAUAGGACAUCAUAGAGGGUGAGAAUCCCGUAUUUGACCUUUACUUUCAACUUUGUGAUACACUUUCAAAGAGUCGGAUUGUUUGGGAAUGCAGUCCAAAAUGGGUGGUAAAUUUCAUCUAAAGCUAAAUAUUGGCGAGAGACCGAUAGCGAACAAGUACCGUGAGGGAAAGAUGAAAAGAACUCUGAAAAGAGAGUUAAACAGUACGUGAAAUUGUCAAAAGGGAAGCGUUUGACACCAGUGUUGUUUUUCUGAAAAUCAAUUAAAGAACUGUUUAUGCUAAGUUGUUUAGACUUUAUCAGCUAAUCUGCUUAGUUUUGAGCUUUCUUUAAUGCACUUUUCAGUUAACAAGUCAACAUCAAUUUCUUUUGCUGUAAAAAAGCUUGAGGAAGGUGGCUUGAGAUUCGUCUUAAGUGUUUAUAGCCUCUUGCCUAUGCAGUCGGAGAGAUUGAGGUCUGCAGCGUAGAUCCUUCGGGGCUAAAUGCAUUUGUGCUAAGUUAUAGCAUUUUAUAGACAACUUGUUGACUAUGAUUUGUCUUGUAGCUUACUCGCUUAUGUUAUUUUACCUACGCUUAGGAUGUUGAAUCUGUGCGAGACUAC